UGUGUCUUGGUCGCGGUUCCACUCGGGCGCAGGGGCGUUGACGAAAUGGGCAUAGAGCUUGUUCUUAGCGCAAGUGACUGUGAUCAGACUGUGCUUCCCUACUCCAUCGAUCUCGUACAGAUAGUACACCUGCCCUGUCUCUUCAUCCUUCUUCUCCUCAGACACCACUUUAUCAGCGCCUGCUAUCAGAUCCUGGAGCUCCACGUCUGACAAGGCCAGGUUGUUAAGGAUCACAUCCCUCGGCGCCAGCUGUCUGAACCCCGACAAGAACGUAAGGUACUCCUUCUCUGUCCUCUUCUUGGGGUUGUAAAAUUCGCUGUCUGUCCCGUUUGUGCCCUUCUCCACCUUCGACACCAGCCUCUC
Molecule: long non-coding RNA, 363 nt
Filed under: Brassica napus (rape)
Lineage: Eukaryota; Viridiplantae; Streptophyta; Magnoliopsida; Brassicales; Brassicaceae
Description: long non-coding RNA (BNAP_LNC013171)
Source: RNAcentral